This 493-nucleotide ribosomal RNA is filed under the name uncultured bacterium. Its description in RNAcentral is "partial 16S ribosomal RNA". It matches the Rfam family "Bacterial small subunit ribosomal RNA", at positions 29 to 507 of the family's 1533-position model. The record is from RNAcentral.
ACGAACGCUGGCGGCGUGCUUAACACCUGCAAGUCGAACGGUGAAGCGCCUUCCCUUUUGGUGGGUGUGGAUGAGUGGCGAACGGGUGAGUAACACGUGAGUAACCUGCCCCCUUCUUCUGGAUAACCGCAUGAAAGUGUGGCUAAUACGGGAUAUUCUGGGUCUGUCGCAUGAUGGGUCUGGGAAAGAUAUUGUUUCGGUGGGGGAUGGGCUCGCGGCCUAUCAGCUUGUUGGUGGGGUGAUGGCCUACCAAGGCGGUGACGGGUAGCCGGCCUGAGAGGGUGGACGGUCACACUGGGACUGAGACACGGCCCAGACUCCUACGGGAGGCAGCAGUGGGGAAUAUUGCACAAUGGGCGCAAGCCUGAUGCAGCGACGCCGCGUGAGGGAUGGAGGCCUUCGGGUUGUGAACCUCUUUCGCCAGUGAAGCAGGCCUGCCUCGUUUGUGGGUGGGUUGACGGUAGCUGGAUAAGAAGCGCCGGCUAACUACGUG